AUACGAUUGAACGAUAGAAAUGUAAUAAAUUCUUUUGUACGAGUAAUCAAGUAUGAAUAAUUCAACUGAAAUGUCUUAUUAUUCAUGUUUCUGAUACAAACGACCGGAUGAAAUAAAUAUUCUGAUAUUUGGAGCGCGUGUAAUCGAUACAUUAAAUUCCACAAUUAUAAUGAUGUAUAUACUAUCUUUAAAAAAAUUUGUUUAUUUUUAAAAAUAGAAUGUUGGCAUAAACGAGCCGCGAAUAUUUAUGCUCUAAUUGACUCGUAACUGUCUUAAGUCUUCCGCAUAUCCCUCUAAAAAACAAAACAGUCCGUAAAAACACAACUUCAUCGCAAAUGAUUACCUCGUUGUUAGUUGGAGCACGAUUCAUUAAACAUGCUCUGCAAUUGUGCCUCGACUAUGUUAUGUAAUUUACCUUCUUUAAGGUUGUAAUUUUAAACGAAAACGUGCUUAAACAGUUUCACGAAUGUUCUUCUUCUUUCUCCUGUUUUUCCUAGCAGAAAAAACUCAUUCUUGUUCAUCCAUUCAAGAUGCGAACUUCACGCGAAUAAUUAGCCAUUCGGAUAAUAUUGGAUACGCUUCACAAUUAAAAUAGAUAAUUACCUUGCAUCGUAAUCUGGCUUUACGAUCUGAAUCUUGAUAUUUUAUGGAUCGAGUAAGAAAAACUAAUGAUGCGCCUCUGCAUAUUCGAAUGAAGAAAUAGAGAGUCAGUCGUAAAAAUUUAUUAUGAAUGGAUAUAUUUAAAUAAAUUCAAAAAUCUCGUACGAAUAAAUUUUCUCGAUGAAUAAUCAAUUAAAAUUCUCUCGAAUAAGAUAUUCAUAAUUUUUUUUCUUCCAUUUUUUCGUAGCGUUUUUUCGUGAUAUUCGUGGAAAAAAGAGAAUAAUAUAACGAAACUCAUUACCACGCGGUAAUUAUCCUGUCAAAAUAUCCAUUAAGACUUCAGAUGUCGUAAGCUUUGCUUUUCGAGUUUGCUGACUGGGAGAAGUUCCAUUUGGUUUGUCGGCAACUCGGUGCCUGCAACUCCGACGAACGCUCGAAAGUUUUGGAGUAAAUAAACCGGUGGCCAAACACGUGAGACAAUUUCGCGUGUCAAUUACGCGACUCUUCGAAUCCUUGGCUGAGCUAAAGGAUCGUCGGUGGUGGAUAGACGAGGAUAAACUAUCGGUUGGAAGAAAAGCUAAUUAAAGUGGUGCAUCCGCGGCCAGAAACCCGCAAAGAUCCACGACAAACGUACAGGAAAUCCGCCCCUUUAAACGCCGCGCUAAUGCCACGAUACAUCCACUCCUGAUGAUUCACAAUUAACCGUGUCUCUUGACGAGCAUCGUGGAGAAACGCUAUCAAGCUUGCUGCUAAUUAUCUCGAGCCGCCGUGUAUCAGAGCUUACGAACCAGAACCACGCCAAAUGUAACCACCUAGCAGUACGAGUUGUAACAACAUUCUCCAACGUCAUAUCUUCAUUUAAAACUGAUUCGAUACUUUGAGUUUCGUUACUUGAACUCGAUUUAACUUAAAGCUACACGUUUAAUAAUCAAGCUUGGUCGUUCACGUUGUACAAAAUAUUCAUGAUUCAAUUACUCUUCAACGGUCAAAGGAAAGACGGAAGAACUCAUAUUUUAUUAUUUAAAUUUAAAAAAAAAAGCUGUAGUUACAUUAUUCGAGCUACUUUCAAAAUUUAAACAUUUCCAUCAAUUCGAUCGUUCUCUAAAAACGUUAGAAAAGUCCUUUCUUCGAUCGCUAUUUAACUCUGCUCCGUCGAGACGCAUUCCUUACUUACAAUUAUACGAAACGCAAUAUAAUGAUCAAACCGCAGCGAAUUUAAUCGGCAUUUAAGGUUAAAAGGAAACGGUUUACUCGGUGGAUCGCGGCACGUAGGAAUAACAGGAAGCAAAGUCUAUAUUCAUCCUCCGUUUCGCCUCGUUUUCCAUCGGGUACACCGCACGUUUCGAAUAGUCAUUCCCGCGGAGGAAUAAGAUACAGGGCGGAAAGAAGCGGAAAGCCGUACCAGCCGUUUACGAACUCCCUUUACGGCCAACCACGGAUAUUACCGGGCACGAUGGCGAUUACGUUACUCUACAUACGUAGUUACACGUCGACGAGAUCUCUGCCUGCUUGGAUCGCACCUACCCGAGACCGUCCAGGAUUCGGCGGUCGCGCCUGACAAGACUCUUUUACUGGCCACUUUGCACCAACUGCGGGGAUAUCUAAUAAUAUCCCCGGCUACGAGUGUCCUCGAUUUUAAAAAAAACUCUGUCACGCGACGGCCGUAAUAAAAGGGACUGGGAAUCGUGAAAAUUGUGGGGGAGGAUGAAAAGCGUGGAAAAAGCAGCGUUGGCGAGCCUUCUAUUUCUAUGAAAUCGUGGACAAUUCGAUUAAAUGAUAUCCGACACGCAUCUUCUACAGGAAAAUGUUGAUGUAUUUUAAAAUUAUACCUCUAUAUUCUCUCGUUGAACCGUGAUGUAAGCUUCGUAUUUUUUUUUUUUUUGUCAAGAACAGCAAGUUUUUGGUUCUUCGGUGAAGGGUGGAUCGGUGGUGUAAACGUGAUUUUGAUCAAACUACCAUCCUUCGAUGGUAUAACGUCAUCGAGGUUGUAAUUUUCUGGCAGCAAUGGUUCAGAACGGCCACAAAGGAGCCACCCUUGUACGUUUCCUCUGAUGUGAUCGCGUUAUCUGGCCUAUUAAGCGGCCCGUUAAACGAGGUUUCACGAUCAUCUUGAGUUCACAUCGUCUUCGGGAACGAUCGUGCCCAUCAUCAGGGGCCGUUUACAACCGAUUACGUGCCCAAUGAUCUCGCGUGAUUAAACGUGACACACGCGUGCCGUUAGCAAUGGGAAGUAAAAGCGGCGAACACCGGUUUAAACUGGUCCGAUACGAUCUAUCCGUGCGCAUAUAUAUAGUUCGAUCGUAAUGAUGAACCGAUAGCAAAAAUGUUACAACGAAAAUACCCUUUACACGGGAUUAUCAUAGCUCUCGAUCGAGCGAACGUUUCGUUUAUAGCACGCGUGCCGUGUAAAUUGCCCACCGUUUCAAUCUGCUACAAUCUGAAACACGAAAAUUUGCAAACUCGCGUCAACGACUAUCUAUCUAUUCUCGCGUAUAUACAGGGGAAAAAAGGGGUAAAAAUUCUCUCGAAAUCUCGUGGACAUUAGUCAACGUCGAAACGAGUGUGCGUCGAAUCCCAUCGGGCGGCACUUCUUUUUCUUCUCCCCUUUCAUUCGUAUGUCAACCGUGGCACAGAGAGAAAAAAGGAAGGGAGCUUCGACCUUCGACGAGUCGAUCCGUGAAACUUUCGCAAUAUUGGUCGAAACAUUCCCGGAUUAUUGCCUCCUUGUCCUGUAAACCAGCCCUCCCAAGUAGAUUCGGUGACCGACUAUACGCGAGAUUCGCGUUUUGUAUUCAGAAAGCGUGUCGCGCAACGUGGCAUCUGCCCGCGCCCCUUACCACGUUGUCGAAAUAUUCUCAAUACCUGAACACUCCCCCUUGAUGUAUCGCCUAUUGUCCUCGUGGAAUUGCGAAUAAUCGUAUCCAUUCGUCCAGGAAUUUUUACAUUACGAACUAAGUGGGAGAAAAAAAAAAAUAAUACCAAAAUGGAACGUUUGCGGUAAAUUUCAUCGAAGGGGGGGGUUGGAAUUUAUUUUUCCACGCUCGAAUCCCCUCCUCUCCGAAUAAACCGAGACAAUCGAGAGACAAUGUUAUCGGGCAGUCGUUUCUUCGUGGAAUUAAUUCCACGAGCUCGUGGGGAUCGAACAAGCUCGCGCAAGAACGACGAUAUUUCAAAGCAAGUGAAAAGCUGCCGAUACAAUGGCGCAACCACGACGUCGAGCCGCACCGGAACCUUGUCUCUCCUUUGCGCUACUAAAUAAAUUAGACUCAGUCACGCCCAAUUGGGGUUUCCGUGCACGAUUUUUCACGGAAGCCGCACUAACGCUUCGCAGAAACACCCGCACACGCCACACACACACACUCGUGUAAAUCGUUCGCAUCAUGAUAUCCUUCUCCUCGCAUUUUUGUAUUUCUUUAUUCCGUAUUUACGAUUUUACACGGGUAUCGUUUACAUAAUUGCGCGUGCAUGCAUACACAGGCGUAUAUCGAAUAAACGGAUCUUCCCUGGUAAUACGUUCGUGUUUGUAAAUUUUUGUUGUAUACACGAAAACGUAAUAUAUAUAUAUAUAUACACACAUUACACGCAUAUUUACGCGAACGAUAUCCACGGAACGAAAAGGAAACGGUCCCGCUAUCCGCAAGGGAUUUGAGAAAUACGCGAAUGCAUACAGAGCGAACAGUUACCGCAAAUCCACCGAUUGAGCUUUCGCUGAAAGUCUGCUCAUGGGGAAGAAGCGGAGACGGCCGCUUCCGUUGGCUGAACUAUAACCGUAGAAAUCUCUCUCCUUCGCUCUGUUUCACCUUUCUCUCCGGGGCGAAUGUAAAUUUCUCGCAAACCCUUCGGUAACAGGUUCAUUUGUACGGAGAAAACGCAGCUAGCGGGAAUAAACGAAUAACCGUGAGGAUGAAAAUCUGUGUUGCGUCUCGAGCGAGAAUUUAUUGCGUCCAAUAUUCCCCGACUUCUUUAUGAGAAUGAAAACGAGGCAGGCCCGCUGUCGGUUUAAUCAAGCUGUUGCUAAUUCGAACCGCUGCGAAUUUCCAACUCUCUUUUAUCCCGAUUCGAUACGAAUUCAAUUUGACAAAAAAAAAAAAAAAAAUCAUCGAAAGUAAUAGCGCGAAAUUUUUCCGCUCGAGAGACAACUCGACAAGACGAGUCGUUUGGGAUUAGAUCGUUCGAUAUGUCGGUUGGGAGGGGGAAAUAAAGUGGAAUCCAAUCGAUCAUUAUCCUUAAUCCAUCGUCUGCGCUGCACAGAGGAGCGGGUGGAAAUCGGUUGUUUGCAGGCCUGCCCGUGGCUUAAGGAUUGCACCAAGGGUUGAGGAUGUGCGGCUCGAGUCUUAGAGCAAUGGAGGGUGCGGCUGGUGUAGCAUGAUCCUCUCUAAGCCAAGGCUAAGAGGCUAUUAGUUAGCUCUGCGAGUAGCAACGUAACCCCAAAGACUAACACGGUACUUACACCUUCCCGCUUCGUAGAGAUCGCAAGAUAUUCGACCAACUAGUUUCUCCUAGUACGUUUGCACAACGUGAGAGGUGAGACCGGUAUAUUUUCGCCCUCGUCGGCCAACACAAGACGAUAAGAAAUUAAUAUUGAAACAAACUUUGCGAGCAUCGAUUCUUACUGUUCGUCCUCCAAUUAUAGAUACCAUCAACUGUUCCGAGAUUACAUGUAAAUGAAUUCUCAACGGGAGGGAAGAGCUUGGUCGAAGGAAAAUUAAUUCAGAGGAGAGGGGAGGGAGAGGAGGAGGAGGAAAAGAAGAAGAAAGAAAAUCAGAGCGGCAAUUCGAUGCGAUUCCUUCCUAUUUUUUGCCAUUUUUUAUUUUUAUUUUGUACCUAUAUUUAUUUAUUUUUUGCAGGUAGAAAAUUCAAAGAUCGACUUCGAGGAGAGAAUGAAGGAUAAUCGCGGUAUCAAAUUCAUAACAAUUAUUCGCGAGACUUGGAAUAAUAAUAUUUCUCGUAUUCCAUUCACGUCACUUGUAAAUUUCAUGUAAAACAUAUUCCGACAGGAUGAAUACUAUUACGAAUCGACAAACUAUCGAGGAGCCAUGCAUUAUGCACAACUCCCGUAGAAGUCCGUCGCAAGCAUCUAAUCUCGCCCCUUUGACCCCUUUCCCCGCGGCAUUUAACCCAUAUACCUCUCCGUACAUCAGGAAAUCUCCGCAAAGCCGAUUAGUAGUCGGAGCACGUCCGUUAUUAGCCAUUCGGCCGGAUGUGGUCUAAAACUACUGAAAUCAAACUUCCCUCCAAAACGAUCCUCAUUGCUGAUUUAUACCACGACUCGAGCUACAUUUUGCCCUUCAACAAUACGUUUUACAAUUUUGACGCUGAAUGAAUGAAAGAGUUGGAGAAUUUCACUCGUUACGAGAAAGAAUUUCAAAAUUUCACCGUUAUGCAAAGUAAUUCCCCAUCUCCGCUUAUCAAUCAUAAAACGGCGCUGUACGGUAAAAAUCCAGAAGUCCUGGCGAGAGAGAUUAGAGAAAAUUACGAAAAUGUGUACGAGCCUAAAACGCGGAUUAAAUGAAACACCGUCCAAUGCAGACAUUUCCUAGGCAAUUAUAGCGAGCUCGCGUUUCGUCAAAAAUAAGGUCCAAAUGGCGCAAAAUAAAUGCCAGAAUGGCUGGCUCGCAUGCACCUGCAAAUGGAUCUGAAUUAAUUAAAUUAAUGCCCGGUUCGUAGCGAUGGUGGGUCAUUGGAACCGCGAUCGAAACCAUAUAGCGUAUAAAAUGGUACGGUCCAUCCAAGAUUAUAACGUAACUAUCUCUUUGUUACAGGCCAUUGUUAUUUGAACUUUUUCCACGUAAUGGAAUUCGCAACUUUUUCCUUUUUCCAACGAUCAAAAAAUAUCAAAACGAAAAAAAAGAAAACUUCUCGUCGCUUUUAAACGUUCUUCAUUCCUUCGCGCUUUAUCGAACUGAAAACGAAACGAACGACCGGAUGAAUUUUUGACCGGCUGAACUUGUCCGAUAAGAAGAGAUAGAAACGAGGAUGGCGGGAAUCGAUAUUUGUUGCCGAUUUUCGGCACGUACGACAACAAAUUUUCGGGUUCCCGCCCCUUCGAGUUUAUUCGCGAAUGCACGUUUAGCAAGAAUACCAGGCCUGCACCGGGAAACUAUGAUAAGGGGUGAACCGGAAAACGUUAAGUUUAGGAACAAACGCGAUCGUAAAAGUUGCAAACUUGAAGCUACGCUGGCCGACGAAGCGAAAAGCUGGCAGAGCUGGCACUAAAUAUGAAUCAUAAAAGAAGCAUAAAGAUAAUUGUAUGCUAAUAGGAGGAGCGUAUGCGCCACGUCGCCCAGAACAGCUCAACAUCUACCGUUAUUAUCUACGUAGCUGCGUUACACCAUCCACACAACUCAACCAUUUCUCUACAAUUUCUGCGAUACGACGUUGACGCGAGCUAAUUCUGUAUGGUCAAGCAUUCCAAAAGCAGUCGUGUCAGAAGAAUUACGAAGAAUUAAUCCUUUUUUGUUUCUAUUUAACGGUCUUUAAAAAGAGCGUUCGUUCUUUUUUUACAAUUCUAAUUAGUUUCCAUUUUAUUUUAAAAUAUCAAGAAUUAUAAGAACUUUCAAUCAUUAUUUUUAUUAUUUUCUAAAAUUGGAGAUAUUCGAGAGAAUAUCGAGAUUGUUACUCUACUUGAUCGAUACAAUCAAUAGUGCGGCGAAAUGUACGCGAUAAAUCAAACGAUAAACUUACGACAAUUCAAAUUUCACGAGAAUUCAACCUCAUUUAUUCGAACGAUUAAUCUCGCUGAAAGGAUUAUUCCCGUAACUUUGGAAAAUUUCUGUAAAACCGUUCGAACUUCGAAACGAAGCCUCGAAUUCGUGCUAAAAAGCAAGCGGGGAAACAAGCAGAGGAAUUUAUCGCUUUGAAGAAAAUGUUCAACUAUGUCCAGGAACAAUUUGGGAUCCCUUUCUCCCGCCCUCCUGAAGAACAAUGGAAAAGCUUGGAAUGGAAAAGAAUAAUGGAUAAUAUAGAGCGGGGCAGCGACCGGGAAUAAUAUGUGGAGUGUGGUUUUUCACGAGCUCGUGAAUCGAGAAGCGGGAAAUCAAGAAGGAUCUUCUUGACCGUGUCGCCGACUUUUACAGUCGAUCGUCCCGAGAGCUUUUACGAGCCUUGACGAGAAAGUACCGUCACGAUGUGUAAACCAUGAGCCUUUUCGACAGUCGCUCCAGCCUUUGAAGCUCUCCUUUUCUUCCGCCCGCUCGAGCUAAGCGAAUGGAAAAUGGAAGAGGCAAGGGCAGCCUUGAAAAUCGUGGAUCCCUUCUCGUGGAGAGUGGCUUUUUAAACAACUCGUCAGAUAUUCUCUCACCACGGUGGAUUUAUCAUCGAGAAUCAAAUUUUUUUCCCGACCAUGUCGCGAAAAGCGACGGUUAGCCGGGGCGGAUGAAUUGGUUAAUGGUAUAAAGUUUUCGAGAUGGAUCGAAUGGAAUGGGGAAGCAAUUAAACAGAGUGGAAGGACAUUAACAGUUGGAUAACAAGCGAUCCUUUGUCUCUGCCUUCCACCGCGGGAUAAGGAAGCAGCCUAAUCGAAUUUUCCGAAACUUGUUACGAACCGAUUUACCAUAGCGGCUCUCCUUUGAACGCGCGGCCCGAAAAUAGCCGAGCGAGAAUUGGCAGGCAAUUAAAGAUGAACAAUGCAACCGCUAUGUCAUCCGCCACGAAGCUAAUAUAUCUCGGGCGCAAGGUUUUACUCCCCCCCUCCACUCGUUCCCGAUUCACCGGGCCGAGAGAACUCUUCAAGUUUCCGGGUGCAAUUUUGCGUUCCAACCGAAGUGGCACGAAGACGGGCCCCCCCGGUUGUAAUAAAAGUAAGGCAAAGGGGAAAACUGCCACUUUGUCCUCAAAGCGCGGAACGUCACGUGCAAGCAAUAGCCACAGGCAAGCUUUAUAGGGACAAACGAGGCCACUUUAAUUUACGAAACUUGCUCGACAUGCACGCCGCCGAGCAGAGAACGGUUGAUUUACUAACGGGGGAGGAAAA
This 8572-nucleotide long non-coding RNA is filed under the name Apis florea (little honeybee). RNAcentral's name for it is "uncharacterized LOC105735719". The record is from RNAcentral. Lineage: Eukaryota; Metazoa; Arthropoda; Insecta; Hymenoptera; Apidae.